CUGGCUGUUCUGUCUGUGAUGUUGCAUCAGCAUCACUUCAUUAAAUAGUUAGAGGGUCUCUAGCUUUCAGCGGAAGUUGAGGGAGUGGAAGCAUCUCUUGUUGGCUGAGAUCUCUUCAAUGCCCUGUCAAUCAAGUCCUCAUCUUGCCAUCCCUUUCGCCAGUACAGUAAAAGAACCACUGAGCCUGGGUUUGGCUCUUGACUCUUCUGCAGCCAAGGAAAGCCUGGGUUGACUUCCACCACUCUGUGUUUCAAAGAGAAGACUUUUCAUGACUAGGAAACCUUUGAAGAAUUAUUUUGUGUUAGAUUUGUUUUUUUUCCUCAUGGUCACUCUGACUUUGUAAAAGUUUGAGAUGUUUAUCAUGCGCAUCACAUGCCCUUACGCAGUCCUUGUCUGUGAAAGAAAGCUUAACUAACUGUAAUUUAGGUGUGUUAAUGCAGGCUAGACCAUGUACAGAACCAUUAUAUAACCACUGGCCUUUCUGUAAACCUUUACUGAAGUAAUCAAUCACUUUGUAAUAAUUGCAGUAUGUGUACCUUUGUGUGUCUCUAAAGCUGCAUUUAAACAGGAAGCCCAAUUCUGAUAUUUUUGUCACUAAUUGGUAUUUUGAGCUGAUGUGAAAAAGUUCCGAAUUGGGCUGCCUGUCUAGCGCAGCCUAUAUGAAGUGUCCGUUUAACUCAUAGGACCAGAUCGAUCACUGAUGUUCACAACAGAGAAAAUAAGCUCUCGGUUUCAUUGAACUCUGGAAAGCAACUGAUUGCUCGCUCUAAACAACUGUAAUUGGUCUAACGUAAUCUUCAAGGACAAUCUUCUCUAGUCACUCCAUGUCUGUGCUUGAACUAGUGGUGCAGUUUCUAUCUCCCAGGAGAGGACAGUCAACUUCAGCUUCACAGCAGCUCAUCACACAGUAUGAGACCUGGAUCUAUGAAGGCGAUAAGAAGCAUUACUUCUGAGUCAGAUCAUCACCAUGACAACCAGAGACGCAGCCAGGCUCCCAGAUCUGAAGCUGAGUGAAAACGCUCUUCGGGCUACUCUGUGGAGCUGAUGGGAGAAUGUCAAACAUCCCCUACAUGGAGCUACUGUACUGUAAGCUGAGCUGUGAGAGGAACACUACACUAGCUUCAAGUGUUC
Long non-coding RNA from Oncorhynchus tshawytscha (Chinook salmon), 1131 nucleotides. NCBI's taxonomy places the organism in Eukaryota, Metazoa, Chordata, Actinopteri, Salmoniformes, Salmonidae. The record is from Ensembl.